Molecule: ribosomal RNA, 401 nt
Filed under: uncultured bacterium
Lineage: Bacteria
Description: bacterial SSU rRNA
Rfam family: Bacterial small subunit ribosomal RNA
Source: RNAcentral
UAGGGAAUUUUGCGCAAUGGGGGAAACCCUGACGCAGCAACACCGCGUGAAUGUUAAGCCCUUCGGGGUGUAAAGUUCUGUCAGUAGGGACGAAUUUUGACUGUACCUACAAAGGAAGCACCGGCUAACUCCGUGCCAGCAGCCGCGGUAAUACGGGGGGUGCAAGCGUUGUCCGGAAUCAUUGGGCGUAAAGGGUGCGUAGGCGGUUUGGUCAGUCAUCUGUCAAAUACCGGGGCUCAACCCCGGGCAGCGGAUGAAACUGCCAGACUUGAGUACAGUAGAGGUAGGCGGAAUGCGCGAUGUAGCGGUGAAAUGCAUAGAUAUUAGGAGGAACACCGGUGGCGAAGGCGGCUUACUGGACUGUAACUGACGUUGAGGCUCGAAAGCGUGGGGAGCAAACA